RNAcentral lists this ribosomal RNA (503 nucleotides) under uncultured bacterium. RNAcentral's name for it is "partial 16S ribosomal RNA". It matches the Rfam family "Bacterial small subunit ribosomal RNA", at positions 28 to 523 of the family's 1533-position model. The record is from RNAcentral.
GACGAACGCUGGCGGCAUGCUUAACACAUGCAAGUGGAGCGACGAACCUUUUUGGGGCAAAGCCGCGAACGGGUGAGUAACACGUGGGCAAUCUGCCCCGAUGACUGGAAUAACUCGAGGAAACUCGUGCUAAUACCGGAUGUGCCAUUCCCUCACAAGAGGGCCUGGUAAAGGGAGCUUCGGCUAUCCGCACCGGGAGGAGCCUGCGGCGCAUUAGCUAGUUGGUGGGGUAAAGGCCUACCAAGGCGACGAUGCGUAGCUGGUCUGAGAGGACGAUCAGCCACACUGGAACUGAAACACGGUCCAGACUCCUACGGGAGGCAGCAGUGGGGAAUCUUGCACAAUGGGCGACAGCCUGAUGCAGCAAUGCCGCGUGAGGGAAGACGGCCUUUGGGUUGUAAACCUCUUUCAGUUGGGAAGAAGGUCGGACGGUGAAUAGCCGCGUCGACUGACGGUACCUUCAGAAGAAGCCCCGGCUAACUACGUGCCAGCCGCCGCGGUAA